CAAGCAGCGUACUCUCUCGACUCACUCUCUCCUCUCCUCUCCUCUCCAUCUCCAUCUCCACCUGCUCAGCUGAGCUCUUUAUUCAGAAAGAUUAAACCCUACUCUAUCAUCGUGUAGAACUCUAUCAUCAGAGUACGAGAGGAGCUUGCAGCAGUAAGCCGGGCAGAGCUUACGGCAGGCCUUGAAAGCACAGAACGUUUGUCAAGAUUGAAGAACUGAAGUACUUUGGAGAUCAGAAGAGCAUUGAAGUUCACACUUUUGUCAGACCUGGAACCAUCUCUCAAAGCUAUUAAAGAUAAGCUCUUGACUAAGAAUGUGCAUUGAUUGUUAAUUGGUAAAGAUAGUUCCAUGGAUUUAAUGAAUCUUUCUUAUGUUUUCAUUUGCAGCUAAGUGUUACCAUUAGUAUCCCCAGGGCAAGAUGAAUUUGUUUUCCAUCCCCAGGGCAGUAUGAAUUUGAUAAAGAAUGAAGUUUGUUAUUUCGUACUUACAUAAAGAAUGAAGUUAGUUUUGGAGUUUGAUUUGAAUUUGAUUUCACUUCUUGGCAUGCAGAUUAAGCCUGAGAUGUACAGAUAUGAAGUCAUGUCAACUAAAAUUGAAAUGCGCCUUGCUAAAGCUGAAGCAAUCAACUGACAUCUCUUGAAUAUACCAGGGAAAAUUCAGUUCAACAGAAAUUGAACUCGCCACCAGGUUAAUUGAAUGAUGCUCAUGAGAUCAGAAAGGUUGGAGAACAAGGCAGCAAAGCAGCAGCUAUUAGGUCCCUUAGCAGCUGCAAGAUUUGUAAGUUAUAAUGUAGUAUCUCCUUAUAGAGAUUUAAGUUAGAAGAACUUAGGAAUUUCAGAACUUUCUACAAACUGGACUUAGGAAUUAAGUAUGUUUCUGUGUAUGCCCAUUAAAUGAAUGACAUAGUUUGUA
This is a long non-coding RNA of Papaver somniferum (opium poppy), 912 nucleotides long. RefSeq lists it as uncharacterized. The transcript has 5 exons. NCBI's taxonomy places the organism in Eukaryota, Viridiplantae, Streptophyta, Magnoliopsida, Ranunculales, Papaveraceae. The record is from RefSeq and is a predicted model, not a curated record.